RNAcentral lists this ribosomal RNA (374 nucleotides) under uncultured Alphaproteobacteria bacterium. Its description in RNAcentral is "bacterial SSU rRNA". It matches the Rfam family "Bacterial small subunit ribosomal RNA", at positions 521 to 896 of the family's 1533-position model. Lineage: Bacteria; Pseudomonadati; Pseudomonadota; Alphaproteobacteria. The record is from RNAcentral.
UAAUACGAAGGGACCUAGCGUAGUUCGGAAUUACUGGGCCUAAAGAGCACGUAGGUGGUUAAGAAAGUUGGUGGUGAAAUCCCAAGGCUUAACCUUGGAACUGCCAUCAAAACUUUUUAACUAGAGUGUGAUUAAGGUAAGCGGAAUUUCUAGUGUAGAGGUGAAAUUCGUAGAUAUUAGAAAGAACACCAAUUGCGAAGGCAGCUUUCUGGAUCAUUACUGACACUGAGGUGCGAAAGCAUGGGUAGCGAAGAGGAUUAGAUACCCUCGUAGUCCAUGCCGUAAACGAUGUGUGCUAGACGUUGGGAAUUUAUUUUUCAGUGUCGCAGCAAAAGCGUUAAGCACACCACCUGGGGAGUACGACCGCAAGGUUA